Molecule: ribosomal RNA, 173 nt
Filed under: uncultured bacterium
Lineage: Bacteria
Description: partial 16S ribosomal RNA
Rfam family: Bacterial small subunit ribosomal RNA
Source: RNAcentral
CUCCUACGGGGGGCAGGCAGUGGGGAAUAUUGGACAAUGGGCGCAAGCCUGAUCCAGCCAUGCCGCGUGAGUGAUGAAGGCCCUAGGGUUGUAAAGCUCUUUUGUGCGGGAAGAUAAUGACGGUACCGCAAGAAUAAGCCCGGCUAACUUCGUGCCAGCAGCCGCGGUAAUUC